RNAcentral lists this unclassified non-coding RNA (344 nucleotides) under soil metagenome. RNAcentral's name for it is "partial contains 5.8S ribosomal RNA, internal transcribed spacer 2, and large subunit ribosomal RNA". The stretch from base 1 to 119 matches the Rfam family "5.8S ribosomal RNA", at positions 35 to 154 of the family's 154-position model. The record is from RNAcentral.
GAUGAAGAACGUAGCGAAAUGCGAUACGUAAUGUGAAUUGCAAAUUCAGUGAAUCAUCGAGUCUUUGAACGCACAUUGCGCCCCAUGGUAUUCCGGGGGGCAUGCCUGUCCGAGCGUCAUUGCUGCCCUCAAGCACGGCUUGUGUGUUGGGCCUCCGUCCUCCUCCCGGGGGACGGGCCCGAAAGGCAGCGGCGGCACCGCGUCCGGUCCUCGAGCGUAUGGGGCUUCGUCACCCGCUCUUGUAGGCCCGGCCGGCGCUUGCCGACACAUCAAUCUUUUUUCCAGGUUGACCUCGGAUCAGGUAGGGAUACCCGCUGAACUUAAGCAUAUCAAUAAGCGGAGGA